GCCUCGCUCGGCCCCCCGACUCGCUUUCCGCCCUGUCGGUGCACCAGCGUCAGCAGCUUCGUUAGUCGCUGCAUAUAAAGAGGCAUUGCAAAAAAGGUUAUUGCACUGCUCUUGUAUGUUGGGUUCAGGGUUUUGCAUGUUUUUUGGGUUUUUUUCCCCCUGGAUUUCGUGUGCGAAUCAAGGAGGCUUUCGGGUUUCUGAAAACCAAAUGGUUUUCACUUGCUGAUCAAACCAUUUGGGUUUCCCGCGCCCCGGCUCCGUCCGUGCAUACAUACCAUAUGUAUCUCUUUUCGGAUUGGGAUUCUUGUAUGCUGUGGACUGUGGUACAUAUGGAGGGAGCUUCGGCCGCCCGCUGACUAUAGUGCUGCAAUUGGCUCCAUGGCAACCAAACUAAACACACGGUCGUACGGCGUGUUUAUAGCAAAUAAAAGUUGCCAGAUUUGUGCUAAAUCAGGCUUAAAAUUCAAACUGAACAGGGUGAAAUGCUGAUGCCAUUACCAAAUGUAAGUGGCAGCUUGGCAGGUGAUGAAUUAGCCACUUUUGCCAACAUAUAAGCUAGCUGUGAAUGUUCCAACAUGUAAACUACCUCUAGGAAGCAUCUCAACUAUUAUGUUUAGGCUUCAACCUUCAAUUUAGAUCUCCAAAAGCUUUCGUGAUUCCUACGGGAAUAAACUGCUUCAUGUGAAAUCAUUGUGAAACUCGUACAAAAUGCGAAAUAGGCCUUGCUUGGCCCUUGCCAAAUUAAUAAUCUUGUUAAGGGUACAGUCAAUAAAUAAAUGCAAGUCUUCGUGUCACAGAUA
Setaria italica (foxtail millet) is the source of this 800-nucleotide long non-coding RNA. RefSeq lists it as uncharacterized. NCBI's taxonomy places the organism in Eukaryota, Viridiplantae, Streptophyta, Magnoliopsida, Poales, Poaceae. The record is from RefSeq and is a predicted model, not a curated record. The transcript is spliced from 2 exons.